UGACUCACGCAGGAAUCUUACCGGGUCCGGACACACUGAGGAUUGACAGAUAACAAUAUGAUAGCUCUUUCAUAAUUAUGUGAUAGGUGGUGCAUGGCCGUUCUUAGUUCGUGGAGUGAUCUGUCUGCUUAAUUGCGUUGGUAUAUAUAAUGCAUGUUAAUUGCAUUUUUACCAUGCAACGAACGUGACCGCAACCUCUUGUUGCACUAUAGCUUCUCAUGGUGCAAAACUAGAGGGACCGCUGUAUUUAUUUCUUUUAGCCAGAGGAAGGAUGCGGCAAUAACAGGUCUGUGAUGC
Molecule: ribosomal RNA, 297 nt
Filed under: Elphidium sp. S7
Lineage: Eukaryota; Foraminifera; Rotaliida; Elphidiidae
Description: partial small subunit ribosomal RNA
Rfam family: Eukaryotic small subunit ribosomal RNA
Source: RNAcentral